GGAGGGGUCGCAUAGUCCGGCCUAGUGCGCAGCACUCGAAAUGCUGUGGGCCCGUGAGGGUCCCGUGGGUUCGAAUCCCACCCCCUCCG
This 89-nucleotide transfer RNA is filed under the name Acidimicrobiia bacterium. RNAcentral's name for it is "tRNA-Ser". It matches the Rfam family "tRNA". Rfam says of the family: Transfer RNA (tRNA) molecules are approximately 80 nucleotides in length. Their secondary structure includes four short double-helical elements and three loops (D, anti-codon, and T loops). The record is from RNAcentral. Lineage: Bacteria; Bacillati; Actinomycetota; Acidimicrobiia.